AACAAUGUCGUGAGGCAUUGUUGAGCAUGCAGAAGUCAGCAGAGGUCAUAGUAGCAGAGAUGUGAA
RNAcentral lists this non-coding RNA (66 nucleotides) under human gut metagenome. The record is from RNAcentral.